Molecule: long non-coding RNA, 2628 nt
Filed under: Canis lupus familiaris (dog)
Lineage: Eukaryota; Metazoa; Chordata; Mammalia; Carnivora; Canidae
Description: lncRNA (ENSCAFG00845020016.1)
Source: RNAcentral
UUUUUUUUUUUUUAGCUUGUACUUUGGAUGUCAUAUCUAUUGCCUAACCCAAAGUCAUGGAGAUUUGGUUCUACUUUUUUUUUUCCUAGGAGUUUUAUAUUUUUAGCUCUUACAUUUAAAUAUAUGAUUUAGUUUGGGUUAAUUUUUAUGUAUGAUGUAAGGAACUUUACUUUUUUGCACAUGGAAAAAUUGUUUCAGCACCAUUUGUUUUAAAGACUUCUUUCCUGUUCUUAAAACUGGAAAUAUUUCUGAUUGUUUCCAGGCUUCUACUACAUUUCCAGAUGAACUCAACAGUCUUUUAGGGCUCCCUGGCAUUUGCUCAUCUAAGUCAUUCACAGGUUAUUUCAGUAUUCUCUGGGAUGUUAAUGGCUUAAGAUCAGAAGAUUUAACGUGCUUUAGAGAGACUAGGUACUCUCAUAACCUUACCUUUUAUUGUGGUUCCUAUCCCUAUUUAUCCAUAUUCUAUCCCUUUUCACUCUGAACCACUUCCUUCACUGAAAUGAUAAAGACAAAACAGAAGUGAAUGAAUUCUCUCUCUCACUCCUGUUAAUUUACACCAUUGACUUCAAAUAAAUGUACCGCCUCCUUUUUAUCCUCUUGUACCUAGCAAAGCUCUUUUAUUUAAAAAAAAAAAAAAAUCCAGUUGAAAGAGUGAGAGCACAGGGAGGAGAGGGGUAGGUGGAAGAAGAGGGGGGAAGCUGACUUCCUGCUGAGCAGAAAGCCUCAAACUGGGCUUAAUUCCAGGAUCCUGGGCUCAUGAUCUGAGCCGAAGGCAGAUACUUAACUGAAUGAGCCACCCAGGAACCUAUCCUUGUAAAGCUCUCCUAUCAUCCUUAGGAUUUCCCCCAACUUUAAACUCAUUUAUUUUUUCUGUGAAUCAAUGAUUUAUCUUAUUAAAAAUGAAAAUCUUUCUUUUUUUGUCUAGUCAGCUGCUACCAUUUUCCACGGAACUAACAAUUCCAAUUAAAAAUUUUGGAUGUGAAAGAAAUUAGUAUAAUCUAUACUUGUAACUUUUUACUUUGAAAAAUUUCAAAGUUAGAGAAAAGUUAUAAUAUAGUGAACACCUCCAAUUAGAUUCACCCAUUUUAAGCAUUUUGCCACAUUUACCUUCUCUUAAUACACAUACACUGUAUGUGUGUAUAUUUUACCCAUUUUACAUACAUGUAUUAUAUAUCCAUUUUUUUUUCUGAAUCACGUAAAAGUUGUAGACACCACAACACCUCAGUCAUAAAAGCCAUAAAAGCUUUGGCAUAAAAUUUCCAAGAUUAAGUAUAAUACUACAAAAUAUCUUUUUUAAGAUCCAAAAUUCCAUUUUGUUGUUACAUCUCUUGAGUCUCUUUAAUAUGGAGAUUUAAAAAAAAUUAUAUUGGUUCAAUGAACAGUCCAAGUCAAUUGUUAUUGUUUUUUAAUAGAAUAUGCCAUAUUCUGUAUUUAUUUGCCUGUUUCUUCCUGUUUGACUUAUUCUGAUACCCUCUAUAUGUCAUUUCAGUUUUUAAAUCUAAACCAGGACUGUUCAACCUUGGCACUAUUGUCAUUUUGGGCCAGAUAAUUCUUCAUUGUGGGGAAGGUGUCCUGUCUAUUGUGUAAUGUUUAGCUGUACUCAUAAGAUGCAGUAACCCUCCUCAGGUUAUGACAACUGAUAAUGUCUCCAGACACUGUCAAAUGUGCCCAUUUGGGUAAAGGGUAGGGUGGGGGUGGGGGGUGGGGAUCCAGCUUCUGGUUGGGAACUACUGUCUGGAAGCUUGAUUAAAUUCAGGUUAAACAAUUUUGCAAGAAUAUUUCUUAGAUGAUGUGUAUUUCUAGUUGCACUACAGCAGUAAGCCCAUAAUAUCAGAUUGACCCAUUAGUGAUCCUAGCUUUAGUAAUUUAAGGCAGUGAUUUUCUUUUUUAAGGUAAAGGUACAUUUAUUUUCUUUUGCAAUAAUUAAAUUAUGGCUUGAUACCUUGAAACCACGUGAAGAUCCUGUACUCCUUCCACCUUUCAGCAGUGGCUUUUAGCAUCCUUUGAUGAACUUUGCCUGAAUCAACUGUUAAUGAUUCGGAAAAUGGUGAUUUUCUAAUCGUAUCAAUUGUUCUACAUUUAUUCUCUGGUAUACCUCCGAAAGAAAAACUUUUAUUAUUUCUCCUUUUCUUUCUUUUUAAAAUUUUUAUUUUUUGGGAUCCCUGGGUGGCGCAGCGGUUUAGCGCCUGCCUUUGGCCCAGGGUGCGAUCCUGGAGAUCCAGGAUCGAAUCCCACGUCGGGCUUCCGGUGCAUGGAGCCUGCUUCUCCCUCUCUCUGUGUGACUAUCAUAAAUUAAAAAAAAGAAAAAAAAAUAAUAAUAAUAAAAUUAUUUUUUAAGUAAUCUCUACACCCAAUGUGGGGCUUGAAUUUACAGUCCCAAGAUCAAGGGUCACAUGCUUUACCAACUGAGCCAGCAAGGCACCACUUGUUUUUAGUGCCACUCUGAAACCGUGCGUUUUACAUAUUUUUUUUUAGUUCAAUAAAUUAUCAUUGUUUUUUGAUGCUAAUAUGAUCCAAAAUUUUUCCAGUGGUAAUUUUCAACCCAUUCUAGAAAACAUUUUUUUUUUUUUUUUUUUUAAGAUUUAUUCAUAAUAGAGAGAGAGACACACACACACAUAGGCAGAGGGA